RNAcentral lists this ribosomal RNA (1325 nucleotides) under metagenome. RNAcentral describes it as "bacterial LSU rRNA". It matches the Rfam family "Bacterial large subunit ribosomal RNA", at positions 1561 to 2925 of the family's 2925-position model. The record is from RNAcentral.
AGUGGAUGGGGAGCAACCUAGUUGUGCGUGUGUAAAGGUAGUGCCAAGAAAAGCGGUGAUCAUGAUGAAAAUCAAUUCCCGGUACCCGAAACCGACACAGGUGGGCAAGUAGAGAAUACUAAGGGGCGCGAGGUAACUCUCUCCAAGGAACUCGGCAAAAUGACCCCGUAACUUAGGGAGAAGGGGUGCCACCGAGAGGUGGUCGCAGUGAAGAGGCCCAGGCGACUGUUUAGCAAAAACAUAGGUCUCUGCAAACUCGAAAGAGGAGGUAUAGGGGCUGACGCCUGCCCAGUGCCGGAAGGUUAAAGAAGUUGGUCAGUCUUAGGAUAAAGCUAGCGACUGAAGCCCCGGUGAACGGCGGCCGUAACUAUAACGGUCCUAAGGUAGCGAAAUUCCUUGUCGGGUAAGUUCCGACCCGCACGAAAGGCGUAACGAUCUGGGCGCUGUCUCGGAGAGAGGCUCGGCGAAAUAGGAUUGUCUGUGAAGAUACGGACUACCUGCAUUUGGACAGAAAGACCCUAUGAAGCUUUACUAUAGCUUGGAAUUGUGUUCGGGCUUCCUGUGCGCAGGAUAGGUGGGAGCGAAGAAGGUAUUCUUGUGGGGAUACUGGAGCCAACGGUGAGAUACCACUCUCAGGAGGCUAGAAUUCUAACUUAAUUAAGGACAGUUUCAGGUGGGUAGUUUGACUGGGGCGGUCGCCUCCAAAAAGGUAACGGAGGCGUACAAAGGUUCCCUCAGACUGGUUGGAAAUCAGUCGCAGAGUGCAAAGGCAGAAGGGAGCUUGACUGCGAGAAGUACAGUUCGAGCAGGGUGGAAACACGGUCUUAGUGAUCCGACGGUGCUGUGUGGAAGGGCCGUCGCUCAACGGAUAAAAGUUACUCUAAGGAUAACAGGCUGAUCUCCCCCAAGAGUUCACAUCGACGGGGAGGUUUGGCACCUCGAUGUCGGCUCAUCGCAACCUGGGGCGGAAGUACGUCCCAAGGGUUGGGCUGUUCGCCCAUUAAAGCGGUACGUGAGCUGGGUUCAGAACGUCGUGAGACAGUUCGGUCCAUAUCCGAUGUAGGCGUGAGAAUAUUGAGAGGAGCCUUCCUUAGUACGAGAGGACCGGGAAGGACGCACCGCUGGUGUACCUGUUAUGAUGCCAAUUGUAAACGCAGGGUAGCCAAGUGCGGAGAGGAUAACCGCUGAAAGCAUCUAAGUGGGAAGCCCACCUCAAGAUGAGUAUUCUGGUGUAAGGUCACGGGAAGACGACCCGUAAAUAGGCACGAGGUGGAAGUGCAGAGAUGUAUGAAGCCGAAGUGUACUAAUAGACCGUCGGCUUGACC